GAUGAACGCUAGCGGGAGGCCUAACACAUGCAAGCCGAGCGGUAUUGUUUCUUCGGAAAUGAGAGAGCGGCGUACGGGUGCGUAACACGUGUGCAACCUGCCUUUAUCUGGGGGAUAGCCUUUCGAAAGGAAGAUUAAUACUCCAUAAUAUAUUGAACGGCAUCGUUUAAUAUUGAAAGCUCCGGCGGAUAGAGAUGGGCACGCGCAAGAUUAGCUAGUUGGUGAGGUAACGGCUCACCAAGGCGAUGAUCUUUAGGGGGCCUGAGAGGGUGAUCCCCCACACUGGUACUGAGACACGGACCAGACUCCUACGGGAGGCAGCAGUGAGGAAUAGUGGUCAAUGGGUGCAAGCCUGAACCAGCCAUCCCGCGUGAAGGACGACUGCCCUAUGGGUUGUAAACUUCUUUUGUAUAGGGAUAAACCUACCCUCGAGAGGGUAGCUGAAGGUACUAUACGAAUAAGCACCGGCUAACUCCGUG
This 479-nucleotide ribosomal RNA is filed under the name uncultured bacterium. RNAcentral's name for it is "partial 16S ribosomal RNA". It matches the Rfam family "Bacterial small subunit ribosomal RNA", at positions 28 to 507 of the family's 1533-position model. The record is from RNAcentral.